Hibiscus syriacus is the source of this 341-nucleotide long non-coding RNA. RefSeq lists it as uncharacterized. The record is from RefSeq and is a predicted model, not a curated record. NCBI's taxonomy places the organism in Eukaryota, Viridiplantae, Streptophyta, Magnoliopsida, Malvales, Malvaceae. The transcript has 3 exons.
GAUUAUUUAUAAUCUUCCAGUCGCUGUUUUUAGACAAAGGAGAGACGGAAGUCAGUCAACAACAUAUGAACAUGGUUUCCAAGUUGGAUUCCAAGGGAAUUAUGCGGGGAGCAAGGAAGAGAAGUAUUUUAUCAACAACCACUUGAGCUUCAGGGUCAUGUUUCACAGGGAUACUGAGACUGAUGCUACUUGAAUUGUUGGGUUUGAGCUUACCCCAAAAAGCAUUAAUCAUGAAUACAAAGAAUGGGAUGAGAAGAAUCCCCAGAUAGCAACAUGCAAUAAGGACACCAAAUAUCAAACUCAAGCUAGUACUGUUCCACAAUAAGUUGAUGUAGGCAAGG